Molecule: ribosomal RNA, 253 nt
Filed under: uncultured bacterium
Lineage: Bacteria
Description: partial 16S ribosomal RNA
Rfam family: Bacterial small subunit ribosomal RNA
Source: RNAcentral
GACAGAGGGUGCAAACGUUGCUCGGAAUCACUGGGCGUAAAGGGUGCGUAGGUGGGUAGGUAAGUCAGUGGUGAAAUCUUCGAGCUUAACUCGGAAACUGCCAUUGAUACUAUUUAUCUUGAAUACUCUGGAGGUAAGCGGAAUAUGUCAUGUAGCGGUGAAAUGCUUAGAUAUGACAUAGAACACCAAUUGCGAAGGCAGCUUACUACAUAGUUAUUGACACUGAGGCACGAAAGCGUGGGGAUCAAACAGG